Molecule: ribosomal RNA, 810 nt
Filed under: Phylloporus bellus
Lineage: Eukaryota; Fungi; Basidiomycota; Agaricomycetes; Boletales; Boletaceae
Description: eukaryotic LSU rRNA
Rfam family: 5.8S ribosomal RNA (bases 275-429)
Source: RNAcentral
GUAACAAGGUUUCCGUAGGUGAACCUGCGGAAGGAUCAUUAUCGAAUAUGAUAUGAUGGAAAGAAGAUAGAGAGACUGUCGCUGGCAGGACUUUGACUAGUCUUGCAUGUGCACGUCCCCCUCACCUUUUUUCUAUCUAUACUCACACACACACACACCUGUGCACCUUUUGUAGAUCUCUGCUCCUCUCGAAAGAGAAGGUCAGAAUCUAUGUUUUCAUCAUAUCACACACGUAGUAUGGCCAGAACGAAACAAUAUAUGUAUAAUAUAAUACAACUUUCAGCAAUGGAUCUCUUGGCUCUCGCAUCGAUGAAGAACGCAGCGAAUUGCGAUAAGUAAUGUGAAUUGCAGAUUUCCAGUGAAUCAUCGAAUCUUUGAACGCAUCUUGCGCUCCUUGGUAUUCCGAGGAGCAUGCCUGUUUGAGUGUCAUUUAAUUCUCAACCAUCUCUCUCUCUCGAGUAUGGAUUGGAUUUGGGGGUUGCUGGUGGCCUUGACCUGUCAGCUCCCCUUAAACGCAUUAGCGAUCGAGUUGGCUAGUCUUUGACGCACACGGCCUUGGACGUGAUAAUGAUCGUCCUGGCUGGAACGUCUUUCCUAGACUAUGUACAUAGAUGGCUUCUAAUUGUGAUGGAGGAAAGAAGUUGGCUUGAUGUGAGUCUAAUUUAUCAAGCUUAGCUACUAGUUAGUCGAAAGGCUGGCGAACGCAAGCAAGAUGAGAGGGAAUCAUGUCUGCUUGACCUUUCUUUCAACUUAAAAUUAAGAGACUUGACCUCAAAUCAGGUAGGACUACCCGCUGAACUUAAGCAUAUC